CAGUUAUUUUGUCUCAUGGCAAAACUUGCCCAAGAAUUCAGGCAGAGUGACCCCAGCUCCACUUGAGGUUUUUUGAGUGGUUCUAAAGUGGAAAAGUUUGAGAUGUGCUGAUUCUUCUGGAGUGGGUAUUAAGACAAAAAGGAAACCACUGAGCGUUCAGCUUGUAAGUGGGGAGCUCACGGAACAUGGAGAACAGAAAAAGCAAUUUGAGCACUCCCUGGGAAUGUUCACUUUUACACUAUUUGGAUUCUGAAGUCCAGUUCUCUUAUGCUUUGUGUUUGAUUGAAAAGGGAUAAGUCUAUAUCUCAUUUAACCAUUCGAAGCAACUAAAACCAAAGGCUGCUUGCAACUGUGCAUUCUGUUGCCUCUUGUGCUUGUUCUGCCAAGAGAACAUAAAAUCAGAGGGUAGCUCAGGUCCCUUCUCACACACCCUAAGUCCAUGUUUUACUAUUGUCAGGUACUAAUAAUGUACCUUUUCUUUAGCUUUGCAGAAUGGCAAAGAGACAGUUGAGUUUGGACUUUUUCUGCGCAAAGGCCAAGACUUCAGCCUCCUCUAAGAGUCCUGCCCCCAACACAAGCAGCACAGUUCUGAAUUAUGGUACCGGAAGCAGCCACAGUGAGUGUGACACUCCAGAUUAGGAUGCCACAUCAUGCACAAGCACUCAUACAGACAUUAGUACGGCUUCCUGUAGCAGAGACCCUUGCUUUGGGUCAGAUGCAGCUUUGAAAUAUCUUAAGAAAGGGCCAUAUCAGCCCAUAAUUGUGUUUCCAGGCACUCCAUCUGCCAAUAAAAUAAGAAAAUUCAGAAAAGAAUGGUACAGUGAUCACAAAUGGCUUGAAUACAGUGUCUGUCAGGACACAGUUUUCUGUUUCUGCUGCCGAGCAUCACAACUUGACAGUCGCAGGAAAAAAACUGGACAAAAACCAAGGAUGCUUACAAACUGUAAUACAGACUGUGUUGUUUUGUGCUUGCCAAGGCAUACCUUUGAGGGAACAUGAGCGAGCUGAUUCCACAAAUCAAGGAAACUUGCAGGAAUUGACAAAACUGCAUAGUGAAGACAACAAAGUGAUUCAGCGGCUUAUGAUUAACCUAGAGAAGUUCUUCACCUACCUACACAGCUCCUGUCAAAAUGAAAUACUUGAGAUUAUGGCUUCACAAGUCCAGAAUUCAAUAGUAAAGGAAGUAAAGUAAGCUGGAGUGUUUGCCAUAAUUGCAGAUGAAACAAUGGAUCUCUCCAGGCAUGAACAAGUCGCUCUCAUACUGCGAUAUGUAAACCAGUCCUUCGAAAUACCAGAACAACGUAUUGGCUUCUAUAGGACACUGCAGACAGCUGGUGCUUCACUUGCCUCACUGAUCAAGACUACUUUGUCAGAUCCGAGACUUGAUAUUUUGGCUCUAAGAAGUCAGUGCUAUGAUGGAGCUGCAAGCAUGAGAGGACCCUAUAAAGGUAUGGCUGCAUGGAUACUUAGUGAGAAUCCUUUAGCUUAUUACAUUCACUGCUACGCUCAUAUAUUAAAUCUGUGCAUAGUGGAUGUGGUUUCUUGCACUCCCUCUGUCCAGAAUGCCUUCACACUUCUCCAUGAACUACAAACUUUCAUUGAAGGAAGUGCAAUGAAAGUGCUAUCUUUGGAAAAAUUGUAUCAGAAGGAAGACAAUCAGAAACUGCUUCUUUUUCUGGUGGACCAGUAACUCUUAAACCAUUCAGUGACCCUUGAUGGAACUGUCAAGUCAAGGCUACCAAAGCUCUUUUAGAAAAUUUUGAUGAGAUAGUUGAAGCUCUGGAUGAAAUCGAACAUGGGGGUUCAAAAGCUAGAGUUGAAGCUUGUGUACUUCUCCGACACCUGCAAGACUUCAACUUCCUGUACUGCAUGCUGCUUAUGAGGAGAGUGCUUAUGCAAACU
Long non-coding RNA from Gavialis gangeticus (Gharial), 1902 nucleotides. RefSeq lists it as uncharacterized. The record is from RefSeq and is a predicted model, not a curated record. The transcript is spliced from 3 exons. Lineage: Eukaryota; Metazoa; Chordata; Crocodylia; Gavialidae.